This 1235-nucleotide ribosomal RNA is filed under the name metagenome. RNAcentral's name for it is "bacterial LSU rRNA". It matches the Rfam family "Bacterial large subunit ribosomal RNA", at positions 1564 to 2808 of the family's 2925-position model. The record is from RNAcentral.
UGAAUACGAGACGCUAAGGCGUCGAAGUAGUGUAUGUCAUACUUCCAAGAAAAGCUUGCACUGUCAUAGAUAAAAAACGCCUGUACCAUAACCGACACAGGUGGGUAGGUAGAGUAUACUAAGGGGCGCGAGAUAACUCUCUCUAAGGAACUCGGCAAAAUAACUCCGUAACUUCGGGAGAAGGAGUGCCUUAUUCGUAAGGUUGCAAUAACAAGAUCCAAGCAACUGUUUAUCAAAAACACAGGUCUCCGCUAAGUCGUAAGACGAUGUAUGGGGGCUGACGCCUGCCCAGUGCCAGAAGGUUAAAGAAGUUGGUUAGCAAUUGCGAAGCUGAUAACUGAAGCCCUGGUGAACGGCGGCCGUAACGAUAACGGUCCUAAGGUAGCGAAAUUCCUUGUCGGGUAAGUUCCGACCCGCACGAAAGGCGUAAUGAUUUGGAUACUGUCUCGGAGAGGGGCUCGGUGAAAUAGACUUGUCUGUGAAGAUGCGGACUACCUGCACCAGGACAGAAAGACCCUAUGAAGCUUUACUGUAACUUGAAAUUGAAAUUGGACUUUAUUCGCGCAGUAUAGGUGGGAGGCGUUGAUUAUAAUCUUGUGGGAUUAUUGGAGCCAUCAGUGAGAUACCACUCUUGUAAUGUUAGAUUUCUAACUUUUGAAUCAUUAUCUGGUCAAAGAACAGUUUCAGGCGGGCAGUUUGACUGGGGCGGUCGCCUCCUAAACGGUAACGGAGGCGUACAAAGGUUUCCUCUGAACGGUUAGAAAUCGUAUCUAGAGUGUAAAGGCAUAAGGAAGCUUGACUGUGAGACCUACAAGUCGAGCAGGGACGAAAGUCGGCCUUAGUGAUCUGACGGUACUGAGUGGAAAGGCCGUCACUCAACGGAUAAAAGUUACUCUAGGAUAACAGGCUGAUCUCCCCCAAGAGUUCACAUCGACGGGGAGGUUUGGCACCUCGAUGUCGGCUCAUCGCAUCCUGGGGCGGUAGUACGUCCCAAGGGUUGGGCUGUUCGCCCAUGAAAGCGGUACGCGAGCUGGGUUCAGAACGUCGUGAGACAGUUCGGUCCAUAUCCGGUGUAGGCGUUAGAAUAUUGAGAGGAGCCUUCUUUAGUACGAGAGGACCGAGAAGGACAUACCUCUGGUGUACCAGUUAUCGUGCCAACGGUAAACGCUGGGUAGCUAUGUAUGGAGUGGAUAACCGCUGAAAGCAUCUAAGUGGGAAGCCCACCUCAAGAUAAG